This 398-nucleotide ribosomal RNA is filed under the name uncultured bacterium. Its description in RNAcentral is "partial 16S ribosomal RNA". It matches the Rfam family "Bacterial small subunit ribosomal RNA", at positions 523 to 918 of the family's 1533-position model. The record is from RNAcentral.
AUACGUAGGGUGCGAGCGUUGUCCGGAAUUACUGGGCGUAAAGAGCUCGUAGGUGGUUUGUCGCGUCGUCUGUGAAAUUCCGGGGCUUAACUCCGGGCGUGCAGGCGAUACGGGCAUAACUUGAGUACUGUAGGGGAGACUGGAAUUCCUGGUGUAGCGGUGAAAUGCGCAGAUAUCAGGAGGAACACCGGUGGCGAAGGCGGGUCUCUGGGCAGUAACUGACGCUGAGGAGCGAGAGCAUGGGUAGCGAACAGGAUUAGAUACCCUGGUAGUCCAUGCCGUAAACGGUGGGCGCUAGGUGUAGGGGUCUUCCACGACUUCUGUGCCGUAGCUAACGCAUUAAGCGCCCCGCCUGGGGAGUACGGCCGCAAGGCUAAAACUCAAAGGAAUUGACGGGG